GGUGUUUACAGCCUAUGUUGACAGCAAAAAGAAAGGAUUAGACUGAGUGUGACAGGAAGAUACAAAUACUCAUGUUCGCUAAGAUUCUGAACUUAUUAUGAAGUUAGCAUCCCAAUAAAACAAACUCGACAACUGAACAUUUACAUUUACAUUUAAGUCAUUUAGCAGACGCUCUUAUCCAGAGCGACUUACAGAACAAAGUUGGCUUGCGCUAGCGAGCCCUACCUGGUUACUGGCUAUAGUCAUGCUAGCUAGUGGAAGUAAGUUAGUCCCUCAACCUGCUGCAAGAUGAAGCUGCCCAGCCAGAUCCACCUGCUGCAGAAAGGUAUUUUCAUUAUUGAACAUGAAAUGAACUACACAGAGGGAGAAGUACACUGUGCAUCCAGCACCAUGGACAGAACUCUUGUUAACAGAUGGUAUGUAGGCUUGUUGAUGGUACCUGCAGGCCUGUUUCAGGGACAACUGGACAGGACACUUCUUGGACUUCAGCUGAGACCCAUCUACGUCCUUCUUUCCUCUUCCUGUUUUGCAUUAAGCUCUCAAGGAUACAUUAGGGGAAGUUGUUUUUCUGUUGGCACCAAUCCUAUGCAGCCAGGCUGCCAAAUCCCCCUCAUAUCCCCCUCAUACUAAACUUUACUCACUCUUGUUCAACUGCCAUUUGAUUGAAUCGGUUUAAUUAAAUGUUUAAAUUUGCUUCAAGUGUGGUUUUUACUGAAA
Long non-coding RNA from Oncorhynchus masou masou (cherry salmon), 717 nucleotides. RefSeq lists it as uncharacterized. Lineage: Eukaryota; Metazoa; Chordata; Actinopteri; Salmoniformes; Salmonidae. The record is from RefSeq and is a predicted model, not a curated record. The transcript has 4 exons.